Molecule: non-coding RNA, 45 nt
Filed under: Schistosoma haematobium
Lineage: Eukaryota; Metazoa; Platyhelminthes; Trematoda; Strigeidida; Schistosomatidae
Source: RNAcentral
AUCCAGCUGACGGGUUCCAAAUAGGACGAAACGCGCAUCCUGGAU